Molecule: long non-coding RNA, 1251 nt
Filed under: Equus caballus (horse)
Lineage: Eukaryota; Metazoa; Chordata; Mammalia; Perissodactyla; Equidae
Description: lncRNA (ENSECAG00000058239.1)
Source: RNAcentral
CACAUGGGAGACAAAGAGGGAGAUGGAAAGAAUACCUGUGUUUAUCCUGAGUCCUUUAAGCACAGGUCAGACCAUGCCUGCUGACCGGUCCAUCUCUUCCCUUAGAAGAAAAUGCAUCUAUAUGUAAUUUUUGAAAGAUACUGUUGUGGGUUGAAUUGAAUCCCCCAAAAAGAUAUGUCAAAAUCCUAACCUCGGAAUAUGACCUUAUUUGAAAGAAGGGUUGCUGCAGAUGUAAUUGAUUAAUACGAGGUCCAACUGGAGUAGGGUGAACCCUUAAUUCAACGACUGGUGCCCUUACAAGAAGAGAGGAGACACAGACACAAAAACACAAAGGAAGAAAACAGUCGUGUGACGAUGGAGGCAGAAAUUGGAGUGAUGCAUCUAGAAGCCAAGGAACACUGAAGACUACUGGAAAAUACCAGAAUCUAGAAGGAAAGACUCUCUCCCACAAGAUUCAGGAGGAGUGUGGCCCUGCCAAACCUUGAUUUUGGACUCGUAACCUCCAGAAAUGGGAGAAAAUAACUUUCUGUUGUUUUAAGCUACUCAGUUUGUGGUACUCUGUUAUGGCAGCCACAAUAAACUAAUGUAUACACUAACUACAUCAGUACACAAAAAAUGGGGAGAAAAGUGUGACAAAGAGAUGGGCAUGUGUAACCUUCAGAAAGAUGGACCUUAAAUAUGGGCAAAGCUCUUGGUAGAAACUUUGAGGCUUUCUAGGAACCUUUGCUUUUUGCUUUUGUAUUACUAGGGUUUAAGACACAUUCAGUUUUGAGGAUAAACUUAUAGUUUCUGGAUAUUCCUUGCUGACCAUUCAGGCAUCUAAUUCACCCCCACAUAUGUACCUAACUUAAACUAGAAAUACUAAGAAUAGAAAUAGCACAUCUUCUCUUUGAUUAAUACCUACACCGAAUGCCUAGCAGAGGGCUCUCCCCAGCCAGGACUUCAUUGUAGAUAUGGCACUGUUACUGGUGCUGCUGUUGUGAUGGUUCAAGCUUAUUCUGGAAAAUGUUUCUAAGUUUCUCCCAGCAGAAAAGAUGUAUUACUUAUUUAUUGUUUUAAUAAUAAGAUGCAAGCAAAUCUGGGUGGACUUUAACAUGGAAAGAGACAUUAUCUGGCCAGGAUUGUUAUGAAAGAGAAUCAUCCUAGAGGUCCUCCUUUUGGGCCGAGAUGGACUCUAUGCCCUUGCUAAUGUAACUUUCUACUUUAUAGCAUAUGAUUCAGUAUUUUUCUUCUAAGGUAUGGAAUAAGGCA